This is a long non-coding RNA of Papaver somniferum (opium poppy), 1375 nucleotides long. RefSeq lists it as uncharacterized. NCBI's taxonomy places the organism in Eukaryota, Viridiplantae, Streptophyta, Magnoliopsida, Ranunculales, Papaveraceae. The transcript has 2 exons. The record is from RefSeq and is a predicted model, not a curated record.
ACACCUCCAAAUUAAAUUCAGAGCCGAGUGCAGUUUGGUUUUCACUUCAUGGGCAGUGUUACAAGCUUGUUAAUAAACAAAAUUUCAAGAAAUGUAAUAAAUCAUGACACCAUUAAGGAAUGAUGCACUUUAAAGAUGCCUCUUUAUCUUUAGGGAGUUUUUAUUAAGGGUUUAUGUCAUGCAUGUGCUGUACUGCUCUCUAUGUUCGAAGAACCCAGAGUCAUUCACAGGAGAAAGCUUUCACAAUCCUUUUUUAGGGAAAUGGUCAAACACCCAAGGAGGGGCUAUAUUGCCCCUCACCACCACCACUAGAAUUUCCAAGAAGAAUAAUAAUUUGAGGGAUCCUCUUUAUACUGAUGUUUAGUUUCUUCUUCCAUGCAUUCUCAUCUUCACUCAUCAUCCAACUCUUGUUUCUUCUUCUUUUACAAAGAAGAAGUUAUUCUUCUACAUUGUACCCCUUUCUCUCUCUAUAUAUAUAGAGAGAGAGAUUUGAGCUACUAAUCAAGAUCCGAUUUCGUAAAACCUGCCCAUAUCUCAAUUUUUUAUACAUAACUUUUUUCAUCAUCAAAAUUUCUCUGAGAAAACAGCCACAAUUGCUGUAUCCUAGCUAGUGACUGGUCCAAAAUGACGGAAGAAAAAGAAAAGGAAGAAGAAGAAACAAAUUAUGAUAUUUGAUUCUUUGUUUGGUAUGAGCGGACUCGGAAUACUAAUAGCACUGCAGCUAACCCAAAUUUAUUUGCUCAAAUUGAGCAGUUAAAAACUAACCUUCAUCUGUUGGAAAAAGGAUUGAGGUCAAAGGCUAAAUAUGUUUUGAAAGAUUGAGAGAAUUGCCUCACAGUCACAGACACUCAAAUGAAGUUUUAAAGGAAGCAAAUUGUUCUACACUCCAAAUCUAUAACUCACUUAACUCUGUGAAACAAAUUGGUUCUGAUAAGUCAGGGACCGGAGGGGAAAUUGUGCUAACAACAGUGUAACUUCAAAUUCAGGUCCAGCUAAUUAUCAUCACCAACUAUUUGUUUGUUUUAGGUGAUCAAUGUCGCUUGAUUUAUUCCAACUUGUUCGGAUUUAGUUUUCCAAAGAAGAUGCUUUGUAGUCACUAGUCAGUACAUGCUGUGAAUUUAAGUGAGAAUCAGAGAGACAUGGAAUCGACUCAUGAGAUACAACUCUAUAAUGUUCUUCUUUUCUUAUUGAACAGAUUUCAAGCAGUGAUAUAUACAAGGAAUGAAGAAAAAGGAAUGUGUUCUUCUUUGUAUCAACAUGGCAAAUUUUGAGUUACCUUUUCUUUAGAUUGCAAAUCUUAAAUCAUGAGAUGAGAUAGAUCUCUGGCUGUUAUGUAAAGAGGAGGCAUACAUUAACGUGGUUCUUCACUUUAUUA